UGUGUAGGCGGUGCUCUAAGUUCGGUGUGAAAUCUCCCGGCUUAACUGGGAGGGUGCGCCGGAAACUGGAGUGCUCGAGCGUGGGAGAGGAAAGCGGAAUUCCUGGUGUAGCGGUGAAAUGCGUAGAUAUCAGGAGGAACACCUGCGGUGUAGACGGCUUUCUGGACCAUUGCUGACGCUGAGACACGAAAGCGUGGGUAGCAAACA
RNAcentral lists this ribosomal RNA (207 nucleotides) under uncultured bacterium. RNAcentral describes it as "partial 16S ribosomal RNA". It matches the Rfam family "Bacterial small subunit ribosomal RNA", at positions 568 to 774 of the family's 1533-position model. The record is from RNAcentral.